RNAcentral lists this transfer RNA (71 nucleotides) under Stegodyphus mimosarum. It matches the Rfam family "tRNA". Rfam says of the family: Transfer RNA (tRNA) molecules are approximately 80 nucleotides in length. Their secondary structure includes four short double-helical elements and three loops (D, anti-codon, and T loops). Lineage: Eukaryota; Metazoa; Arthropoda; Arachnida; Araneae; Eresidae. The record is from Rfam by way of RNAcentral.
GCCUUCGUGGUGUGACGGUAACACACUCGAUCAGUAAUCGAGAGGUCCAGGUUUGAGUCCCGGAGAGGGCA